GCACAAGCGGCGGAGCAUGCGGAUUAAUUCGAUGCAACGCGAAGAACUUACCAAGGCUUGACAUACACCGGUAACGCCCAGAGAUGGGUGCCCCUUUGUGGUCGGUGUACAGGUGGUGCAUGGUUGUCGUCAGCUCGUGUCGUGAGAUGUUGGGUUAAGUCCCGCAACGAGCGCAACCCUCGUCCUAUGUUGCCAGCGGGUCAUGCCGGGGACUCAUGGGAGACUGCCGGGGUCAACUCGGAGGAAGGUGGGGAUGACGUCAAAUCAUCAUGCCCCUUAUGUCUUGGGCUUCACGCAUGCUACAAUGGCCGGUACAAAGGGCUGCGAUACCGCGAGGUGGAGCGAAUCCCAGAAAGCCGGUCUCAGUUCGGAUUGGGGUCUGCAACUCGACCCCAUGAAGUCGGAGUCGCUAGUAAUCGCAGAUCAGCAACGCUGCGGUGAAUACGUUCCCGGGCCUU
Molecule: ribosomal RNA, 458 nt
Filed under: uncultured Curtobacterium sp.
Lineage: Bacteria; Bacillati; Actinomycetota; Actinomycetes; Micrococcales; Microbacteriaceae
Description: bacterial SSU rRNA
Rfam family: Bacterial small subunit ribosomal RNA
Source: RNAcentral